Molecule: ribosomal RNA, 247 nt
Filed under: Escherichia coli
Lineage: Bacteria; Pseudomonadati; Pseudomonadota; Gammaproteobacteria; Enterobacterales; Enterobacteriaceae
Also listed under: 1 other name
Description: partial 16S ribosomal RNA
Rfam family: Bacterial small subunit ribosomal RNA
Source: RNAcentral
AAAUUGAAGAGUUUGAUCAUGGCUCAGAUUGAACGCUGGCGGCAGGCCUAACACAUGCAAGUCGAACGGUAACAGGAAGCAGCUUGCUGCUUCGCUGACGAGUGGCGGACGGGUGAGUAAUGUCUGGGAAACUGCCUGAUGGAGGGGGAUAACUACUGGAAACGGUAGCUAAUACCGCAUAACGUCGCAAGACCAAAGAGGGGGACCUUCGGGCCUCUUGCCAUCGGAUGUGCCCAGAUGGGAUUAG